AUACGUAGGGUGCAAGCGUUAAUCGGAAUUACUGGGCGUAAAGCGUGCGCAGGCGGUUUUGGAAGACAGAGGUGAAAUCCCCGGGCUCAACCUGGGAACUGCCUUUGUGACUGCAAGGCUAGAGUACGGCAGAGGGGGAUGGAAUUCCGCGUGUAGCAGUGAAAUGCGUAGAUAUGCGGAGGAGCACCGAUGGCGAAGGCAAUCCCCUGGGCCUGUACUGACGCUCAUGCGCGAAAGCGUGGGGAGCAAACAGGAUUAGAUCCCCUGGUAGUCCACGCCCUAAACGAUGUCAACUGGUUGUUGGGUCUUCAUUGACUCAGUAACGAAGCUAACGCGUGAAGUUGUCCGCCUGGGGAGUACGGCCGCAAGGUUGAAACUCAAAUGAAUUGACGGGG
RNAcentral lists this ribosomal RNA (395 nucleotides) under uncultured bacterium. RNAcentral describes it as "partial 16S ribosomal RNA". It matches the Rfam family "Bacterial small subunit ribosomal RNA", at positions 523 to 918 of the family's 1533-position model. The record is from RNAcentral.